Molecule: ribosomal RNA, 496 nt
Filed under: uncultured bacterium
Lineage: Bacteria
Description: partial 16S ribosomal RNA
Rfam family: Bacterial small subunit ribosomal RNA
Source: RNAcentral
AUGAACGCUGGCGGCGUGCCUAAUACAUGCAGGUCGAGCGCACAGACGAGGAGCUUGCUCCUCUGACGUUAGCGGCGGACGGGUGAGUAACACGUGGAUAACCUACCUAUAAGACUGGGAUAACUUCGGGAAACCGGAGCUAAUACCGGAUAAUAUAUUGAACCGCAUGGUUCAAUAGUGAAAGACGGUUUUGCUGUCACUUAUAGAUGGAUCCGCGCCGCAUUAGCUAGUUGGUAAGGUAACGGCUUACCAAGGCGACGAUGCGUAGCCGACCUGAGAGGGUGAUCGGCCACACUGGAACUGAGACACGGUCCAGACUCCUACGGGAGGCAGCAGUAGGGAAUCUUCCGCAAUGGGCGAAAGCUUGACGGAGCAACGCCGCGUGAGUGAUGAAGGUCUUCGGAUCGUAAAACUCUGUUAUUAGGGAAGAACAAAUGUGUAAGUAACUAUGCACGUCUUGACGGUACCUAAUCAGAAAGCCACGGCUAACUACGUG